GAUGAACGCUGGCGGCGUGCCUAACACAUGCAAGUCGAGCGAAGCGCCUUACUUGAUUUCUUCGGGAUGAAAGUAUUGUGACUGAGCGGCGGACGGGUGAGUAACGCGUGGAUAACCUGCCUCAUACAGGGGGAUAACAGUUGGAAACGACUGCUAAUACCGCAUAAGCCCACGACCUGGCAUCGGGUUGAGGGAAAAGGAGCAAUCCGCUUUGAGAUGGCCUCGCGUCCGAUUAGAUAGUUGGUGAGGUAACGGCUCACCAAGUCGACGAUCAGUAGCCGGACUGAGAGGUUGAACGGCCACAUUGGGACUGAGACACGGCCCAG
RNAcentral lists this ribosomal RNA (326 nucleotides) under uncultured bacterium. RNAcentral's name for it is "bacterial SSU rRNA". It matches the Rfam family "Bacterial small subunit ribosomal RNA", at positions 28 to 334 of the family's 1533-position model. The record is from RNAcentral.